UAAUACGGGGGGAGCAAGCGUUGUUCGGAUUUACUGGGCGUAAAGGGCGCGUAGGCGGCCACCGCAAGUCGACUGUGAAAUCUCCGGGCUUAACCCGGAAAGGUCAGCCGAUACUGCGGGGCUAGAGUGCAGAAGGGGCAACUGGAAUUCUCGGUGUAGCGGUGAAAUGCGUAGAUAUCGAGAGGAACACCUGCGGC
This 197-nucleotide ribosomal RNA is filed under the name uncultured bacterium. RNAcentral describes it as "partial 16S ribosomal RNA". It matches the Rfam family "Bacterial small subunit ribosomal RNA", at positions 521 to 716 of the family's 1533-position model. The record is from RNAcentral.